CCUACGGGUGGCAGCAGUGGGGAAUAUUGCACAAUGGGGGAAACCCUGAUGCAGCGACGCCGCGUGAGUGAAGAAUUAUUUCGGUACUUAAAGCUCUAUCAGCAAGGAAAAAAAUUACGGUACCUGACUAAGAACCCACAGCUAACUACGUGCCAGCAGCCGCGGUAAGACGUAGGGGGCAAGCGUUAGACGGAUUUACUGGGUGUAAAGGGAGCGUAGACGGCAGCGCAAGUCUGGAGUGAAAUCCGAUGGCUUAACCAUGGAACUGCUUUGGACACUGGGCAGCUAGAGUGCAGGAGAGGUAAGCGGAAUUCGUGGUGGAGUGGUGAAAUGCGUAGAUAUUAGGAGGAACACCAGUGGCGAAGGCGGCUUACUGGACUGUAACUGACGUUGAGGCUCGAAAGCGUGGGGAGCAAACAGGAUUAGAUACCCCUGUAGUC
RNAcentral lists this ribosomal RNA (440 nucleotides) under uncultured bacterium. Its description in RNAcentral is "partial 16S ribosomal RNA". It matches the Rfam family "Bacterial small subunit ribosomal RNA", at positions 338 to 795 of the family's 1533-position model. The record is from RNAcentral.